CCUACGGGCGGCAGCAGUGAGGAAUAUUGGUCAAUGGCCGGAAGACUGAACCAGCCAAGCCGCGUGAGGGAGGAAGGUACAAAGUAUCGUAAACCUCUUUUGUCAGGGGACAAAGACUGGCACGCGUCCCCGGACGAGUGUACCUGAAGAAAAAGCAUCGGCUAACUCCGUGCCAGCAGCCGCGGUAAUACGGAGGAUGCGAGCGUUAUCCGGAUUUAUUGGGUUUAAAGGGUGCGCAGGCGGUCUGUUAAGUCAGCGGUAAAAGCCCGGGGCUCAACCCCGGCCCGCCGUUGAAACUGGCAGUCUCGAGUUGGAGAGAAGUAUGCGGAAUGCGCGGUGUAGCGGUGAAAUGCAUAGAUAUCGCGCAGAACUCCGAUUGCGAAGGCAGCAUGCCGGCUCCACACUGACGCUGAGGCACGAAAGCGUGGGUAUCGAACAGGAUUAGAUACCCCUGUAGUC
This 459-nucleotide ribosomal RNA is filed under the name uncultured bacterium. Its description in RNAcentral is "partial 16S ribosomal RNA". It matches the Rfam family "Bacterial small subunit ribosomal RNA", at positions 338 to 795 of the family's 1533-position model. The record is from RNAcentral.